Molecule: ribosomal RNA, 291 nt
Filed under: Bacillus sp. A0001
Lineage: Bacteria; Bacillati; Bacillota; Bacilli; Caryophanales; Bacillaceae
Description: partial 16S rRNA
Rfam family: Bacterial small subunit ribosomal RNA
Source: RNAcentral
UAAUACAUGCAAGUCGAGCGANUGGAUUAAGAGCUUGCUCUUANGAAGUUAGCGGCGGACGGGUGAGUAACACGUGGGUAACCUGCCCAUAAGACUGGGAUAACUCCGGGAAACCGGGGCUAAUACCGGAUAACAUUUUGAACCGCAUGGUUCGAAAUUGAAAGGCGGCUUCGGCUGUCACUUAUGGAUGGACCCGCGUCGCAUUAGCUAGUUGGUGAGGUAACGGCUCACCAANGCAACGAUGCGUAGCCGACCUCANAGGGUGAUCGGCCACACUGGGACUGAGACACG